AUGGCCUGGAGCGGCACUGAACUAGUCCAAGCAGCGGGUCUUGGUGAUGUUCGAUGGGUCUCAUUUGUGGCCAUGGAACAGUGGCUCCGUGAUAACAAUAGAGCCAGAAGGAUUAAAGGCCAUGGCAGCAGCGAGAACUUGCAGGACGCAGGUGGAGGGGUGGAUGGCGACGGGCGGUGCAGGAGGGCAGCAGCAAGGAGGCGGUGGCGCGGCGGGAAGCAGCCAAAGGUGCACGGCUCGGUGACGAGGAGGACCAGUGGGUCCAGGGGUGGAGGUGACCAGCAGGAGGCGGCGGACGUGGGAAGCUCGCCGUGA
This 315-nucleotide ribosomal RNA is filed under the name Triticum aestivum (bread wheat). RNAcentral describes it as "partial small subunit ribosomal RNA". The record is from RNAcentral. Lineage: Eukaryota; Viridiplantae; Streptophyta; Magnoliopsida; Poales; Poaceae.